UGAGUAAUGCGAUGAGCUGUUAUUGUUUUUCCUUAAGAAGUUCAUGUCAUAUUAGUGUUUGCUUCAUUCUCCCUUGUGUCGCUCGAGAUUCCGUAGCUCUGUCUCUUCACAUCUCACCACCACCGGUGUUCUUCUCUGAAACGACUACAGUUAUUCAGAUUACAUUAAUCCAAGCAUUAACAUCUUAUGAACAACUUCUCCCACUCUUUUGAAUUAAAUUGGCCACAGCUAAAUCCAAAGUAACCGACUAAAACUUGACCUUUAUAUAUCUUCGUUUCUUGGGAUGAACAGCCCCAACGAAAAAAAUCCCAAAAGUCUCUCUCUGCCAAGCAUCAAAUUCAUCAAUGGUGAAUUUGUUUACAAUAGAUAUCACCUCCGAUAGAACUCAUCAGUCAUCACUCAUCACUACGAUGAGAAAGUGUUGGGUUUCAUCAAAGGAUAUUUCUUUGAUAUUGCUUACUUUGAUCAUAUGUGCACUAUAACACCCUCCAAGAACUUGCAUUGAUGACAGCUCUUUUAUUUCCUGUUUUCAACUUUCAACUUCUGCAAUUUGGAUCUGUUGUGUUCCGUCAUACGUGAACAUGGUCUGUGAUGGAAUGCAGAAUUCAACCCUAUACUCCAUUGCAAAAUACGAGAAGCCGACCAUUUAUUUACUGAGCUCGGUACCAUAGAUGUAAGUUCUCUUUCCUGCUUCAGUAUAACAUAUCCGGCUAAAAAAAUUUAAAAAAAAAAAGCUGCUAGCGAUUUCCAUUUCCAACAUAAUCUUUACUUUCUCAGCGUUUGGUACAUAUAUCAUCAUGAAGGUUUCAUAUCUUGACGCUUUUUGAAAUAUGAAGGAAGUGACAAGGCUUCUGAUACUAGACCAUAUCCAGAGGUUUGAGACCAACUUAUAUGGUCUUGCAUUGAUGAAACAAUGAUUGUGUUAAAAAUUACUAAUCAGAUGGAACCGUUCUCAAUUGUUUUGAGUGCAAGAUCUUCAAAAGUUUAUAUUUUCAUGACUUGGGCUUCAUAUGAUUAAGCACGACAAGGAACAAAGAUAUUUGAAGUAUAUCAACCAAUUGUUCGCCAUUAAAUUGCCUUUCUUUAGUUUGCCAUUGUAUGUAAAGUCUAUCAAAUUGUUCAAAUUGUAAUUCUUUAGUUUCCGAGAUGAACUCUGCAAACAUUGAAUAUGAUAAAUCUAUAAUGAUAGCUUGAAGA
Long non-coding RNA from Brassica oleracea var. oleracea, 1197 nucleotides. RefSeq lists it as uncharacterized. Lineage: Eukaryota; Viridiplantae; Streptophyta; Magnoliopsida; Brassicales; Brassicaceae. The record is from RefSeq and is a predicted model, not a curated record. The transcript is spliced from 3 exons.